RNAcentral lists this ribosomal RNA (458 nucleotides) under uncultured Gammaproteobacteria bacterium. RNAcentral describes it as "bacterial SSU rRNA". It matches the Rfam family "Bacterial small subunit ribosomal RNA", at positions 77 to 524 of the family's 1533-position model. Lineage: Bacteria; Pseudomonadati; Pseudomonadota; Gammaproteobacteria. The record is from RNAcentral.
GGCUUACUACUUUUGCCGGCGAGCGGCGGACGGGUGAGUAAUGCCUGGGGAUCUGCCCAGUCGAGGGGGAUAACUACUGGAAACGGUAGCUAAUACCGCAUACGCCCUACGGGGGAAAGCAGGGGACCUUCGGGCCUUGCGCGAUUGGAUGAACCCAGGUGGGAUUAGCUAGUUGGUGAGGUAAUGGCUCACCAAGGCGACGAUCCCUAGCUGGUCUGAGAGGAUGAUCAGCCACACUGGAACUGAGACACGGUCCAGACUCCUACGGGAGGCAGCAGUGGGGAAUAUUGCAAAAUGGGGGAAACCCUGAUGCAGCCAUGCCGCGUGUGUGAAGAAGGCCUUCGGGUCGUAAAGCACUUUCAGCGAGGAGGAAAGGUUGGUAGCUAAUAAGGGCCAGCUGUGACGUUACUCGCAGAAGAAGCACCGGUCUAAAAGGCCGUGCCAGCAGCCGCGGUAAU